AACGAACGCUGGCGGCAUGCCUAACACAUGCAAGUCGAACGAGACCUUCGGGUCAAGUGGCGCACGGGUGCGUAACGCGUGGGAACCUGCCCUUAGGUUCGGAAUAACUCCCCGAAAGGGGUGCUAAUACCGGAUAAUGUCUUCGGACCAAAGAUUUAUCGCCUUUGGAUGGGCCCGCGUUGGAUUAGCUAGUUGGUAGGGUAAAAGCCUACCAAGGCGACGAUCCAUAGCUGGUCUGAGAGGAUGAUCAGCCACACUGGGACUGAGACACGGCCCAGACUCCUACGGGAGGCGGCAGUGGGGAAUAUUGGACAAUGGGCGAAAGCCUGAUCCAGCAAUGCCGCGUGAGUGAUGAAGGCCUUAGGGUUGUAAAGCUCUUUUACCCGGGAUGAUAAUGACAGUACCGGGAGAAUAAGCUCCGGCUAACUCCGUG
This 433-nucleotide ribosomal RNA is filed under the name uncultured bacterium. Its description in RNAcentral is "partial 16S ribosomal RNA". It matches the Rfam family "Bacterial small subunit ribosomal RNA", at positions 29 to 507 of the family's 1533-position model. The record is from RNAcentral.